ACGGCUCAGUAACACGUGGACAACCUACCCUUGGGUCUGGCAUAAUCCUGGGAAACUGGGUAUAAUUCCAGAUAGGUCACAGAUGCUGGAAUGCACUGUGGCCGAAAGCUCCGGCGCCCAAGGAUGGGUCUGCGGCCUAUCAGGGUUGUAGUGGGUGUAACGGACCUACUAGCCUACGACGGGUACGGGUUGUGAGAGCAAGAGCCCGGAGAUGGAUUCUGAGACACGAAUCCAGGCCCUACGGGGUGCAGCAGGCGCGAAAACUUUACAAUGCGGGAAACCGUGAUAAGGGAAUCUCGAGUGCCAGCAUAUAAUGUUGGCUGUCCAGAUGCCUAAAAAGCAUCUGUUAGCAAGGGCCGGGCAAGACCGGUGCCAGCCGCCGCGGUAACACCGGCGGCCCGAGUGGUAACCGCUUUUAUUGGGUCUAAAGGGUCUGUAGCCGGCCAAGUAAGUCCCUUGGGAAAUCUGGCAGCUUAACUGUCAGGCUGCUAGGGGAUACUGCUAGGCUUGGGACCGGGAGAGGUGAGAGGUACCUUGGGGGUAGGGGUGAAAUCUUGUGAUCCUCGGGGGACCACCAGUGGCGAAGGCGUCUCACCAGAACGGGUCCGACGGUAAGGGACGAAAGCUAGGGGCACGAACCGGAUUAGAUACCCGGGUAGUCCUAGCCGUAAACGAUGCUCGCUAGGUGUCAGUCACGGUGCGACCGUGAUUGGUGCCGUAGGGAAGCCGUGAAGCGAGCCACCUGGGAAGUACGGCCGCAAGGCUGAAACUUAAAGGAAUUGGCGGGGGAGCAC
This 794-nucleotide ribosomal RNA is filed under the name uncultured Methanosaeta sp. Its description in RNAcentral is "bacterial SSU rRNA". It matches the Rfam family "Archaeal small subunit ribosomal RNA", at positions 85 to 879 of the family's 1478-position model. Lineage: Archaea; Methanobacteriati; Methanobacteriota; Methanomicrobia; Methanotrichales; Methanotrichaceae. The record is from RNAcentral.